GUGGGGAAUCUUCCGCAAUGGACGAAAGUCUGACGGAGCGACGCCGCGUGAGUGAAGAAGGCCUUCGGGUCGUAAAGCUCUGUCAUCAGGGACGAAUGGCCGGUGGAGUGGAAAGCCACCGGAUUGACGGUACCUGAGAAGGAAGCCACGGCUAACUACGUGCCAGCAGCCGCGGUAAUACGUAGGUGGCAAGUGUUGUCCGGAAUUAUUGGGCGUAAAGCGCGCGCAGGUGGGAUCUUAAGUCCAUUUUGAAAGUUCGGAGCUCAACUCCGUGAUGGGAUGGAAACUGGGAUUCUUGAGUACCGGAGAGGAAAGCGGAAUUCCCCGUGUAGCGGUGAAAUGCGUAGAUAUGGGGAGGAACACCAGUGGCGAAGGCGGCUUUCUGGACGGUGUCUGACACUGAGGCGCGAAAGCCAGGGGAGCGAACGGGAUUAGAAACCCGAGUAGUCC
Molecule: ribosomal RNA, 450 nt
Filed under: uncultured bacterium
Lineage: Bacteria
Description: partial 16S ribosomal RNA
Rfam family: Bacterial small subunit ribosomal RNA
Source: RNAcentral